Molecule: ribosomal RNA, 468 nt
Filed under: uncultured bacterium
Lineage: Bacteria
Description: partial 16S ribosomal RNA
Rfam family: Bacterial small subunit ribosomal RNA
Source: RNAcentral
GACGAACGCUGGCGGCGUGCUUAACACAUGCAAGUCGAACGGACAGGCCCUGCUUUUGUGGGGUGCUCGAGUGGCGAACGGGUGCGUAACACGUGAGUAACCUGCCCUUGACUUUGGGAUAACUUCAGGAAACUGGGGCUAAUACCGGCUAGGAGCUCCUGCUGCUUGGUGUGGGUUGGAAAGUUUCGGCGGUUGGGGAUGGACUCGCGGCCUAUCAGCCUGUUGGUGGGGUAGUGGCUUACCAAGGCUUUGACGGGUAGCCGGCCUGAGAGGGUGACCGGCCACAUUGGGACUGAGAUACGGCCCAGACUCCUACGGGAGGCAGCAGUGGGGAAUAUUGCACAAUGGGCGGAAGCCUGAUGCAGCAACGCCGCGUGCGAGAUGACGGCCUUCGGGUUGUAAACCGCUUUCGCCUGUGACGAAGCGUGAGUGACGGUAAUGUGUAAAGAAGCACCGGCUAACUACGUG